This 520-nucleotide ribosomal RNA is filed under the name uncultured Glomus. Its description in RNAcentral is "SSU rRNA". It matches the Rfam family "Eukaryotic small subunit ribosomal RNA", at positions 569 to 1090 of the family's 1831-position model. Lineage: Eukaryota; Fungi; Glomeromycota; Glomeromycetes; Glomerales; Glomeraceae. The record is from RNAcentral.
AGCAGCCGCGGUAAUUCCAGCUCCAAUAGCGUAUAUUAAAGUUGUUGCAGUUAAAAAGCUCGUAGUUGAAUUUCGGGGUUAGUAGGUUGGUCAUGCCUCUGGUAUGUACUGGUCUCACUGAUUCCUCCUUCCUGAUGAGCCGUAAUGCCAUUAAUUUGGUGUUGCGGGGAAUUUGGACUGUUACUUUGAAAAAAUUAGAGUGUUUAAAGCAAGCUAACGCUUGAAUACAUUAGCAUGGAAUAAUGAAAUAGGACGUUCGAUCCUAUUUUGUUGGUUUCUAGGAUUGACGUAAUGAUUAAUAGGGAUAGUUGGGGGCAUUAGUAUUCAAUUGUCAGAGGUGAAAUUCUUGGAUUUAUUGAAGACUAACUACUGCGAAAGCAUUUGCCAAGGAUGUUUUCAUUAAUCAAGAACGAAAGUUAGGGGAUCGAAGACGAUCAGAUACCGUCGUAGUCUUAACCAUAAACCUAUGCCGACUAGGGAUCGGAUGAUGUUAAUUUUUAUGUACUCAUUCGGCGCCUUA